This 474-nucleotide ribosomal RNA is filed under the name uncultured bacterium. RNAcentral's name for it is "bacterial SSU rRNA". It matches the Rfam family "Bacterial small subunit ribosomal RNA", at positions 8 to 526 of the family's 1533-position model. The record is from RNAcentral.
AGAGUUUGAUCAUGGCUCAGAGCGAACGCUGGCGGCAGGCUUAACACAUGCAAGUCGAGCGGGCGUAGCAAUACGUCAGCGGCAGACGGGUGAGUAACGCGUGGGAACGUACCUUUUGGUUCGGAACAACACAGGGAAACUUGUGCUAAUACCGGAUAAGCCCUUACGGGGAAAGAUUUAUCGCCGAAAGAUCGGCCCGCGUCUGAUUAGCUAGUUGGUGAGGUAAUGGCUCACCAAGGCGACGAUCAGUAGCUGGUCUGAGAGGAUGAUCAGCCACAUUGGGACUGAGACACGGCCCAAACUCCUACGGGAGGCAGCAGUGGGGAAUAUUGGACAAUGGGCGCAAGCCUGAUCCAGCCAUGCCGCGUGAGUGAUGAAGGCCCUAGGGUUGUAAAGCUCUUUUGUGCGGGAAGAUAAUGACGGUACCGCAAGAAUAAGCCCCGGCUAACUUCGUGCCAGCCGCCGCGGUAAUAC